This is a ribosomal RNA of 1461 nucleotides. It matches the Rfam family "Bacterial small subunit ribosomal RNA".
CGAUUAGAGUUUGAUCCUGGCUCAGGAUGAACGCUGGCGGCGUGCUUAACACAUGCAAGUCGAACGAGCCUUCGGGCUAGUGGCGGACGGGUGAGUAACGCGUGAGAAUCUGCCCUCAGGAGGGGGAUAACGGCUGGAAACGGCCGCUAAUACCCCAUAUGCCGCGAGGUGAAAUGAGAAAUCGCCUGAGGAUGAGCUCGCGUCUGAUUAGCUAGUUGGUGGGGUAAGAGCCUACCAAGGCAUCGAUCAGUAGCUGGUCUGAGAGGAUGAUCAGCCACACUGGGACUGAGACACGGCCCAGACUCCUACGGGAGGCAGCAGUGGGGAAUUUUCCGCAAUGGGCGCAAGCCUGACGGAGCAACGCCGCGUGAGGGAUGAAGGCCUCUGGGCUGUAAACCUCUUUUCUCAAGGAAGAAGAACUGACGGUACUUGAGGAAUAAGCCACGGCUAAUUCCGUGCCAGCAGCCGCGGUAAUACGGGAGUGGCAAGCGUUAUCCGGAAUUAUUGGGCGUAAAGCGUCCGCAGGCGGUCUUGAAAGUCUGUUGUUAAAGCGUGGAGCUCAACUCCAUUUCAGCAAUGGAAACUAGAAGACUAGAGUGUGGUAGGGGCAGAGGGAAUUCCCGGUGUAGCGGUGAAAUGCGUAGAUAUCGGGAAGAACACCAGUGGCGAAGGCGCUCUGCUGGGCCAUAACUGACGCUCAUGGACGAAAGCCAGGGGAGCGAAAGGGAUUAGAUACCCCUGUAGUCCUGGCCGUAAACGAUGAACACUAGGUGUCGGGGGAAUCGACCCCCUCGGUGUCGUAGCCAACGCGUUAAGUGUUCCGCCUGGGGAGUACGCACGCAAGUGUGAAACUCAAAGGAAUUGACGGGGGCCCGCACAAGCGGUGGAGUAUGUGGUUUAAUUCGAUGCAACGCGAAGAACCUUACCAGGGUUUGACAUCCUGCGAAUCUUUUGGAAACAGAAGAGUGCCUUCGGGAGCGCAGAGACAGGUGGUGCAUGGCUGUCGUCAGCUCGUGUCGUGAGAUGUUGGGUUAAGUCCCGCAACGAGCGCAACCCACGUCUUUAGUUGCCAGCAUUGAGUUGGGCACUCUAGAGAGACCGCCGGUGAUAAACCGGAGGAAGGUGUGGAUGACGUCAAGUCAUCAUGCCCCUUACAUCCUGGGCUACACACGUACUACAAUGCUACGGACAGAGGGCAGCAAACUCGCGAGAGCUAGCAAAUCCCAUAAACCGUGGCUCAGUUCAGAUCGUAGGCUGCAACUCGCCUACGUGAAGGAGGAAUCGCUAGUAAUCGCAGGUCAGCAUACUGCGGUGAAUACGUUCCCGGGCCUUGUACACACCGCCCGUCACACCAUGGAAGUUGGCCAUGCCCGAAGUCGUUACUCCAACCCUUGUGGAGGAGGACGCCGAAGGUGGGGCUGAUGACUGGGGUGAAGUCGUAACAAGGUAGCCGUAGAAUCG